GAUGAACGCUGGCGGCGUGCCUAAUACAUGCAAGUCGAACGCAUAGCGAAAGGUGCUUGCACCUUUCAAGUGAGUGGCGAACGGGUGAGUAACACGUGGACAACCUGCCUCAAGGCUGGGGAUAACAUUUGGAAACAGAUGCUAAUACCGAAUAAAACUUAGUGUCGCAUGACACAAAGUUAAAAGGCGCUUCGGCGUCACCUAGAGAUGGAUCCGCGGUGCAUUAGUUAGUUGGUGGGGUAAAGGCCUACCAAGACAAUGAUGCAUAGACGAGUUGAGAGACUGAUCGGCCACAUUGGGACUGAGACACGGCCCAAACUCCUACGGGAGGCUGCAGUAGGGAAUCUUCCACAAUGGGCGAAAGCCUGAUGGAGCAACGCCGCGUGUGUGAUGAAGGCUUUCGGGUCGUAAAGCACUGUUGUAUGGGAAGAACAGCUAGAAUAGGAAAUGAUUUUAGUUUGACGGUACCAUACCAGAAAGGGACGGCUAAAUACGUG
Molecule: ribosomal RNA, 497 nt
Filed under: uncultured bacterium
Lineage: Bacteria
Description: partial 16S ribosomal RNA
Rfam family: Bacterial small subunit ribosomal RNA
Source: RNAcentral